Molecule: ribosomal RNA, 468 nt
Filed under: uncultured bacterium
Lineage: Bacteria
Description: partial 16S ribosomal RNA
Rfam family: Bacterial small subunit ribosomal RNA
Source: RNAcentral
GACGAACGCUGGCGGCGUGCUUAACACAUGCAAGUCGAACGGAAAGGCCCUGCUUUUGUGGGGUGCUCGAGUGGCGAACGGGUGAGUAACACGUGAGUAACCUGCCCUUGACUUUGGGAUAACUUCAGGAAACUGGGGCUAAUACCGGAUAGGAGCUCCUGCUGCAUGGUGGGGGUUGGAAAGUUUCGGCGGUUGGGGAUGGACUCGCGGCUUAUCAGCUUGUUGGUGGGGUAGUGGCUUACCAAGGCUUUGACGGGUAGCCGGCCUGAGAGGGUGACCGGCCACAUUGGGACUGAGAUACGGCCCAGACUCCUACGGGAGGCAGCAGUGGGGAAUAUUGCACAAUGGGCGGAAGCCUGAUGCAGCAACGCCGCGUGCGGGGUGACGGCCUUCGGGUUGUAAACCGCUUUCGCCUGUGACGAAGCGUGAGUGACGGUAAUGGGUAAAGAAGCACCAGCUAACUACGUG